CAAGGUCUCCGUUGGUGAACCAGCGGAGGGAUCAUUAUAGAGUUUUCUAAACUCCCAACCCAUGUGAACUUACCAUUGUUGCCUCGGCAGAAGCUGCUCGGUGCACCUUACCUUGGAACGGCCUACCCUGUAGCGCCUUACCCUGGAACGGCUUACCCUGCAACGGCUGCCGGUGGACUACCAAACUCUUGUUAUUUUAUGGUUAUCUGAGCGUCUUAUUUUAAUAAGUCAAAACUUUCAACAACGGAUCUCUUGGUUCUGGCAUCGAUGAAGAACGCAGCGAAAUGCGAUAAGUAAUGUGAAUUGCAGAAUUCAGUGAAUCAUCGAAUCUUUGAACGCACAUUGCGCCCAUUAGUAUUCUAGUGGGCAUGCCUGUUCGAGCGUCAUUUCAACCCUUAAGCCUAGCUUAGUGUUGGGAGCCUACUGCUUUUGCUAGCUGUAGCUCCUGAAAUACAACGGCGGAUCUGCGAUAUCCUCUGAGCGUAGUAAUUUUUAUCUCGCUUUUGACUGGAGUUGCAGCGUCUUUAGCCGCUAAACCCCCCAAUUUUUAAUGGUUGACCUCGGAUCAGGUAGGAAUACCCGCUGAACUUAAGCAUAUCA
This 600-nucleotide ribosomal RNA is filed under the name Pestalotiopsis papuana. Its description in RNAcentral is "eukaryotic LSU rRNA". The stretch from base 233 to 386 matches the Rfam family "5.8S ribosomal RNA". Lineage: Eukaryota; Fungi; Ascomycota; Sordariomycetes; Amphisphaeriales; Sporocadaceae. The record is from RNAcentral.